RNAcentral lists this small nucleolar RNA (108 nucleotides) under Fukomys damarensis (Damara mole-rat). RNAcentral describes it as "Small nucleolar RNA U13". It matches the Rfam family "Small nucleolar RNA U13". The record is from Rfam by way of RNAcentral. Lineage: Eukaryota; Metazoa; Chordata; Mammalia; Rodentia; Bathyergidae.
AUCCUUUUGUAAUUCAUGAGCAUGAAGACCGAGUUCUCCCACUGUUGUGUGAAACAUACCUUUCCUUCAAACUCUUUGUUUCGAUGCCAACACAUUAUCCAUCUGGUA